AAAUUGAAGAGUUUGAUCAUGGCUCAGAUUGAACGCUGGCGGCAGGCCUAACACAUGCAAGUCGAGCGGAAACGACACUAACAAUCCUUCGGGUGCGUUAAUGGGCGUCGAGCGGCGGACGGGUGAGUAAUGCCUAGGAAAUUGCCUUGAUGUGGGGGAUAACCAUUGGAAACGAUGGCUAAUACCGCAUGAUGCCUACGGGCCAAAGAGGGGGACCUUCGGGCCUCUCGCGUCAAGAUAUGCCUAGGUGGGAUUAGCUAGUUGGUGAGGUAAUGGCUCACCAAGGCGACGAUCCCUAGCUGGUCUGAGAGGAUGAUCAGCCACACUGGAACUGAGACACGGUCCAGACUCCUACGGGAGGCAGCAGUGGGGAAUAUUGCACAAUGGGCGAAAGCCUGAUGCAGCCAUGCCGCGUGUAUGAAGAAGGCCUUCGGGUUGUAAAGUACUUUCAGUUGUGAGGAAGGGUGUGUAGUUAAUAGCUGC
Molecule: ribosomal RNA, 483 nt
Filed under: Vibrio cyclitrophicus
Lineage: Bacteria; Pseudomonadati; Pseudomonadota; Gammaproteobacteria; Vibrionales; Vibrionaceae
Description: bacterial SSU rRNA
Rfam family: Bacterial small subunit ribosomal RNA
Source: RNAcentral